This 122-nucleotide ribosomal RNA is filed under the name Periophthalmus magnuspinnatus. The record is from RNAcentral. Lineage: Eukaryota; Metazoa; Chordata; Actinopteri; Gobiiformes; Gobiidae.
CCCUGUGGCCAAACCUCCAUUUCAAGGCCUUAUCUUGUCAGAUCUCAGAAGCUAAGCAAGGCUGGGCCUGGAAAGUACUUGGAUGGGAGACCACUGGGAAAUUCAAGGUUGGGCGGCAGUGG